RNAcentral lists this ribosomal RNA (118 nucleotides) under Mus pahari (shrew mouse). The record is from RNAcentral. Lineage: Eukaryota; Metazoa; Chordata; Mammalia; Rodentia; Muridae.
GGCUCUGGCCAUACCAUCCUUAACACACUGGAUUUCAUUUGAUCUCAGAAGCUAAUCAAGAUUGGCCCUAGAUAGUACUUGGAUGAGAAACACCUGCAAAUACCAAGUACUGUAGGCU